UAGGGAAUCUUCGGCAAUGGGGGGAACCCUGACCGAGCAACGCCGCGUGAGUGAAGAAGGUUUUCGGAUCGUAAAGCUCUGUUGUUAAGGAAGAACGAGUGUGAGAAUGGAAAGUUCAUACUGUGACGGUACUUAACCAGAAAGGGACGGCUAACUACGUGCCAGCAGCCGCGGUAAUACGUAGGUCCCGAGCGUUGUCCGGAUUUAUUGGGCGUAAAGCGAGCGCAGGCGGUCAAUUAAGUCUGAUGUGAAAGCCCCCGGCUCAACCGGGGAGGGUCAUUGGAGACUGGUUGGCUUGAGUGCAGGAGAGGAGGGUGGAAUUCCAUGUGUAGCGGUGAAAUGCGUAGAUAUAUGGAGGAACACCGGUGGGGAAGGCGACUCUCUGGUCUGUAACUGACGCUGAGGCUCGAAAGCGUGGGUAGCAAACAGG
RNAcentral lists this ribosomal RNA (430 nucleotides) under Bacteroidota bacterium. Its description in RNAcentral is "Bacteroidetes bacterium partial 16S ribosomal RNA". It matches the Rfam family "Bacterial small subunit ribosomal RNA", at positions 355 to 776 of the family's 1533-position model. The record is from RNAcentral. Lineage: Bacteria; Pseudomonadati; Bacteroidota.